This 253-nucleotide ribosomal RNA is filed under the name uncultured bacterium. Its description in RNAcentral is "partial 16S ribosomal RNA". It matches the Rfam family "Bacterial small subunit ribosomal RNA", at positions 524 to 776 of the family's 1533-position model. The record is from RNAcentral.
UACGUAGGCAGCAAGCGUUGUUCGGAAUUACUGGGCGUAAAGAGUGUGUAGGCGGUUCUCUAAGUUCGGUGUGAAAUCUCCCGGCUUAACUGGGAGGGUGCGCCGGAAACUGGAGGGCUUGAGUAUGGGAGAGGAAGGCGGAAUUCCUGGUGUAGCGGUGAAAUGCGUAGAUAUCAGGAGGAACACCUGCGGUGUAGACAGCUUUCUGGACCAUCACUGACGCUGAGACACGAAAGCGUGGGUAGCAAACAGG